AUUGAGGUGUAGCCUUUGUCCUCAUCAUGUUUCAGUGGGUUCUGUUUGAUGGAAAUAUACUUACUCUGGGGAAACGGUUUUUCUAAAGAAGUUCCCUGAGAGAAAGCAUAAUGAUAAAAGAGUCAUAAAAUAUGAUGUCAUUCUACAUUACAUACUUCUUUUUGCUUGAAAUGAUUUGUCAGUCUUCAGAUGUGGACCAAUACUGACUUAGCUCCCAACAUUCUUCAGGUAUUCAAACCCAUCUUCUUCAUGUUCGGAUGCUUUGCCAUGGUGGCAGAGUACCUGGCAUAGAUUCUUCCAUGUGUGUUUAGCACAGACUUGACAAUUUAACAAUAUAAUCAAUCACCGUGUUUUUCUGUACAUGUAUAAACACAAUAUAGCCACAUUCAGUUAGUAUUUAAUUUGAAAUAAUUGUAUAUUCACAAAAUUCACAAGCAUAGCCAAGAGCCGUAUUUGAAGAGGAGACUGCAGAGAACGUUUUUAAAAAGAUUUUUCACAACCCUCCAGAACAGCAGUGAGUCUGCCAUUUUUGUAUCCUUUAGUAUCUCCUGGCCCAAACUUAAUUCAUUGGGGAACUUUACAGUGAUCCAUCGGCUUCUAGGCAACCCUGCAGUGGUAGUAGUGGUGACAGCAGCAGCGGCAAUGAUGGAAGCCUGCAGGAGCCAAGAGUGUAAGAAAUGGAAACCGCUUUCUCUAUUUUCUCUGGAGCUAUAGAUUCAGACG
This 723-nucleotide long non-coding RNA is filed under the name Homo sapiens (human). RNAcentral describes it as "HSALNT0044446". The record is from RNAcentral. Lineage: Eukaryota; Metazoa; Chordata; Mammalia; Primates; Hominidae.